ACUCAUGUGAUGAGUUAACUCGGAUUCCCCUUCAGGAUGUCAUGUAUGAUGUGACUAUUGAU
This 62-nucleotide small nucleolar RNA is filed under the name Prunus dulcis (almond). Its description in RNAcentral is "sRNA ncRNA". It matches the Rfam family "Small nucleolar RNA snoR60". From Rfam's summary of the family: snoR60 is a member of the C/D class of snoRNA which contain the C (UGAUGA) and D (CUGA) box motifs. Most of the members of the box C/D family function in directing site-specific 2'-O-methylation of substrate RNAs. Lineage: Eukaryota; Viridiplantae; Streptophyta; Magnoliopsida; Rosales; Rosaceae. The record is from Rfam by way of RNAcentral.